CCAGCAAGCUGAGCCAGGCUGACAGAACAUGUGAUCUCAACACCUGUGUCGGCUGCGGUCUCCAGCUAGGCCCCUCUCGUCCAGCCUCCCAGCCCCCACACGGGUCUCCGCAGCCGUGGCCGGAAGGAAGCCGUUCUGACUGUCUCUGCCAGAGGCUUCCCAGGGAGCCGCUGUAACCCCUGGGGCCCAGCCGGCUCACAGCCCGCGUCAUUGUGCGCAGGAGCCGCCACGGAGCUGCACGGUGCCGGCCUAAUGUUAGGUGACCUGUCCUUCUAAUGGUUGUUCCAACAGACUCUACACGGAAACACGGCUGGCCUCCACAGGGCCUCUGUGCGUCUCCAGCUCAGGCUCCCUGAUGGACAAGAAUCCUGGGGCCUGGGGCAUCUCCUACAGUUCCUUGUCACACAGGCAGAGGCCCCCAGCGCCUGACUCUGCGGUUGUUUAUUGCGGUUGCCCCGGUUGCCUGGACCCAUGAAGGAGACCCUUAAGGGCCAAGAGAGGCUGAAAAACCAGCCUGCAACCACAACGCAAGCCCUGAACAGAGCAGGACCAGCAUCUACCUGCUGUCCCCUGACACCACAGCCUGCAGGUUUCCUGUGACGCUACAAUAAUAAUCCUCCACCUGGGGAUCUGGAGUGCUGGCUUUGAGGUCAUCCGGAGGUGGAACCUUCACCAACAGGCAACACAAGGCAAGUGAUUCCAGGAUUAUCACACCUACUAUGUGUGACCAAGUCACAGGCUCCAGGACUGCCAGUUGCCAGUGUGACCAGCACCCUACAGGGCACACAGUAGGUCCUCUAUUAAGAAGUUUCCCACUACUGCUGUAAUUUUGCACUAUGAUGGCACCAUCAUGCUGCUGGUAAUGGUGUUGAAAAUGAUGUCACAA
Molecule: long non-coding RNA, 886 nt
Organism: Mesocricetus auratus (golden hamster)
Lineage: Eukaryota; Metazoa; Chordata; Mammalia; Rodentia; Cricetidae
Exons: 2
Source: RefSeq, a predicted model, not a curated record